AGGGUAAAACCUUCAGGAGGAAGCUUGGGGGAAGCCACAGGAAGUCCUGACUGGAUGUUGGAUGUUUGCCCCAGGCACGUGUGACCACAAGGAUCACUUCAGCUAAAAACAGUUGAGCAGGGCUGUGUUUGGUUUGGCUCGGGGACAGAUGGGAGCAGGAGCAGCAGGGACAGCUGGAAACCUUCCAAGCGCUUACACGAGAGCUGAGCUGCAGAAAGAGCGCGGCUGAAAAUGCCUUUAUUCCUGGUGGAUACAGCUCUCAUUACUGGUGUCAUCAGCUGGUGCAGCCUUUAAUUAAAUCAUCCCACACUGAGGCAAGUAAGACCAUUAUACCAAUGGCACCCCCUGAAUUGAUUUAAUACUCUGAAUAUCGGGUCUUCACUGACUCAGUUUACAAAGGGAAUUUUUCUUCCAAGUCAGCACUUAGAAGCUGUUUUGAUAAGCACUGGAACGCCAGUUUCAGUGUUACGAAUGAAAAGAAAUCAGAAGGCACACUGGAGGAUGAAGCGCCCGGGGAGCGGUGCUGGAGCCGCUCUGUCUGUGUGGGUGCGCCGUGAUCAGCACCGCUGGGUUCGUCUGGGAAGGAAACUCACGAAAUUCAGAAGAAACACAAAAGCACUUUGCAGGUGUUCUCAAAAGUAACAGCCAGUGGAAAAUCAUCGUCUCUAUCUGGUCGUGAAUUCUGUAGCACAGACGUAGCUUCAGAUUAAAUCCCAUAAAGGCAAUCGAUAAAUCUGCAGAAAUCCAGUGCCUGCAAUUAAAUUCUCUAGAGCUGCUCUCUAAGUACACAAAUUGGGAGCACUGAAAGGACCUCUGCCUCUUGAUGCAUCAUUUUUUUGCUGUGAAUGCUCCUCCUAAUGAAAAAUGAUGGCAAACAAAAAUAGAUUUUCUGUCAUGGGGGUAAUUGUUCUUUUUCUUAGUGCACUCCAAAUAUUUCUGUAAAGCAUCAUCUGCUCUUUAAACACAUAUUGUAGAACAUCAAUGGAAGUCGAUACCUUUUGUCAAUGAGUAAAAUAUUAAAAGUAAUGAGCUGACCUGUUUCUUAUUUAGCUAUUGAUCCUGCCUCUCUCAGGCUGGUUUGCCCAAAAUGUGCAACGCUGGGGAUUUGCUUCCAGAGUCAGACAGAGGAGCUGGGCUGGGGGACUGAGCUCUGCUCAGGGGGGUUCAUUCCAUGCUCAUUCCCAUGCUGAUGGGGGAAUGAAAUGAUUCUUAAAUUGUCUUGAGUAAAACAAUCAAUGAGGUGCUGAGAGGUGGGGGCUUCCACUGGUUUUAUUUACACUGGUGCUGCUGAUCGUGGGGAAAUGGUACCUUUGGUGUAUAGAUUUUAAUUAAGGCUGUGAACAACCUCCCAGAGAUACAACUGAGAUUGGAGGGAAAAAUUAAUUUUUGUGAGUCUGAACUGCCUGUUUUAGUAAUUGUGGAGAUUAAAAAUUGAACUGGGGAUUGAAGAUACUAGAUUAAAUAAACAGCGCAGUAUUUUAAGUUAUAUUCAGUGCUGCUGGAAGUGAAUUGGGUAAGUGGCUGGCCCAGGAGGGGAAGGGAGGGCAGGAAUUGUUGUGGCUUUGGUCACGCUUCUGAGGCCUGACCUGUGCAAUUCACCCCUAAAGGGAUCAAUCUGAUGUGCUUGGAAAUGCUCCUGGGCAGGCGCUGCUCUGGGAGCCCAUUGCUGUGGGAACGGAAUUCCCCCCAGACUGAAAUUCCCCCCCAGACUGAAAUUCCUCCCCAGACUGAAAUCUGAAAUUUCCACCUCCUUACGAUGGAUAACACGGGGCAAUGAGUCUUUCUGCUGGCUCUUUGCUCCCGGCCCCUCGUGCCUGGUGUCCAGCCGGAGCUGGCCAGGAGCCCAGGCAGAGCCAGGAGGGUGUGAGCUGCACUGGGCAGAGCACAGAGCUCCUCAGGAGCAGGCACAGCUGGCAGCACUGCCAGUGGCCCGGGGAAGUGUUUGGAGUGUGUUUUCCCUGAGAACAAGGUGACUUUAGCAGUUUCCCUGUCGCUGAGGUGCUGCUGCCCCACAGCCCGAGCCCUGCCCGGCACAGGGACGGCUCCUGCCCUGCUCCUGCCCCUCCUGGGGCAGAUUCCUCCCACGGGGCUGCAGCCCUGUCACUUACAGCUGUGCUGGCUGUUUCCUCUCCCAGCUCCUUGUCCCAGCUCUGACUCUGGGUGGCCGUGGGCUGGUGGCUGCCAGCAGUGGCCAGUGGCUGGGGAGGCCAGAAGUGACCAAUGGCCAGGAAUCCUGCCCAAAACCGUCUCCUCAUGGUCAACUCACCAGUCAGUACCUAAAGUACGUUGAAAAACUGCACUAAGCUCAGUUAAAAUGCUGGCUAUCUCACCAGAACGUAAUCAGCCAUUCUUUUUUUUGGUUUAUUUCACCUUAAGUUUUAUGCUUUUAUAUACUGGGAUUCUUUUUAUACCUCACAAGAAUUAGAGACAAUUUUAGUGGAUUUUCAGUUUUAUUGGGGUCAAGACUUUCAGUGAGGCAGAACUGUGGUGAAGGGCAGGGUGUGAUUUUGGAUUAACCCUUUUCCUGCCAGUACAGACGGUGCCUCAGUCACAGCAGCUGCCAUCCCUUGUCUUGGCCAGCCUGGACCUGCUCCAGAGGUGUGGACAGCAGCUCAGGCAGACACUGCUGUAGGCAGCCCAGAAAUGUCCCAGGGACGGAAGGGAUAAGGACAAGGUUACUGUCUGGGGGCUUUGGAUCCCUCCCAUCUGCUGUCAAGGUAAAGUCUCUCCUAAUGUUGCAGAAACUUUCAAAUCCCCACAGAAACUGUGUGUGAAGAGGGGGAGUUAUUGGCAGUUCAGCAGUGAUAGAGCAGGAGAGAGAGUAAAUGCUAAAUGCAUUUUACUAUACGACAAAUUUUCAG
Long non-coding RNA from Passer domesticus (house sparrow), 2861 nucleotides. RefSeq lists it as uncharacterized. The transcript has 3 exons. Lineage: Eukaryota; Metazoa; Chordata; Aves; Passeriformes; Passeridae. The record is from RefSeq and is a predicted model, not a curated record.